CCUACGGGCGGCAGCAGUGAGGAAUAUUGGUCAAUGGACGAGAGUCUGAACCAGCCAAGUAGCGUGAAGGAUGACUGCCCUAUGGGUUGUAAACUUCUUUUAUAUGGGAAUAAAACAGGGUAUGCAUACCCUCUUGUAUGUACCAUAUGAAUAAGGAUCGGCUAACUCCGUGCCAGCAGCCGCGGUAAUACGGAGGAUCCGAGCGUUAUCCGGAUUUAUUGGGUUUAAAGGGAGCGUAGGUGGAUUGUUAAGUCAGUUGUGAAAGUUUGCGGCUCAACCAUAAAAUUGCAGUUGAAACUGGCAGUCGUGAGUACAGUAGAGGUGGGCGGAAUGCGUGGUGCAGCGGUGAAAUGCUUAGAUAUCACGAAGAACUCCGAUUGCGAAGGCAGCUCACUGGACUGCAACUGACACUGAUGCUCGAAAGUGUGGGUAUCAAACAGGAUUAGAUACCCCUGUAGUC
This 460-nucleotide ribosomal RNA is filed under the name uncultured bacterium. RNAcentral's name for it is "partial 16S ribosomal RNA". It matches the Rfam family "Bacterial small subunit ribosomal RNA", at positions 338 to 795 of the family's 1533-position model. The record is from RNAcentral.